Molecule: long non-coding RNA, 645 nt
Organism: Microcebus murinus (gray mouse lemur)
Lineage: Eukaryota; Metazoa; Chordata; Mammalia; Primates; Cheirogaleidae
Source: RefSeq, a predicted model, not a curated record
GCCAGGUCGGACGCCGGGCGGGAGCCCAGGCCGCCGCGGACUCCGCAAUCCCGCAGCCGCCGACUGGAGCCCACCUCUGCAGAGACAAAGAAAAAGCCAGUUGGCCCUAACUUUGAUGGAAGUAACCAUAGCAGCAGCCAGAGUCCGUUGAAAUGUUCUCUUCCUUCCCCUGUGCACUCCCAGAUGCCCAAGGAUUCAGCAAACACUGGUGAAGCAGAGGACACGACACAAGAGGCUUGCAUGUGAAAUAGCAAUACCUUCUGCAUUGAAGAAUAAAACAAUAUUUUAAAAUGAACAAGCAAAUAUGGCAAGUUGUUGGGCCCUCCCAAGCCCAGAAGACUUUACUGGUAUAUACACAUGGAACUGAGCCAAGAGUUUGUUCAAUUCCAAAAUUUUCUGAGAAAUAAUCUCAAUAGCCAAUUUGCUUCAUUGUCCUUUCCCUGUCUACCCAAAUAAAAGUGAAACUUUAUGACCCUCCUUUUCAGCUUGAGGAAUGAGGGCUGGGAAGAAACUCUUUGCUCUGAAAAGGCAGCCAUAUUUGCAUUUUUUCUCCUUGUGCAAAGGGCUUGUUUCAAAUAGGUGAGGCUAUCGCUAUCCCAAAAAACAGCAGAGGACGUACCAACCCAACCGACAUCUGAGAUGCGC